RNAcentral lists this ribosomal RNA (548 nucleotides) under uncultured Glomeromycotina. RNAcentral describes it as "SSU rRNA". It matches the Rfam family "Eukaryotic small subunit ribosomal RNA", at positions 548 to 1098 of the family's 1831-position model. Lineage: Eukaryota; Fungi; Glomeromycota. The record is from RNAcentral.
UUGGAGGGCAAGUCUGGUGCCAGCAGCCGCGGUAAUUCCAGCUCCAAUAGCGUAUAUUAAAGUUGUUGCAGUUAAAAAACUCGUAGUUGAAUUUCGGGAUCAGAGUGUCGGUCGUGCCUCGGUACGCACUGGUAUUAUUGGUUCCUACCUUCUGAAGAACCGCGAUGUCAUUAAUUUGGUGUCGUGGGGAAUCAGGACCGUUACUUUGAAAAAAUUAGAGUGUUUAAAGCAGGCUUACGCUUGAAUACAUUAGCAUGGAAUAAUGAAAUAGGACGUUUGAUUCUAUUUUGUUGGUUUCUAGGAUUGACGUAAUGAUUAAUAGGGAUAGUUGGGGGCAUUAGUAUUCAAUUGUCAGAGGUGAAAUUCUUGGAUUUAUUGAAGACUAACUACUGCGAAAGCAUUUGCCAAGGAUGUUUUCGUUAAUCAAGAACGAAAGUUAGGGGAUCGAAGACGAUCAGAUACCGUCGUAGUCUUAACCAUAAACUAUGCCGACUAGGGAUCGGAUGAUGUUAAUUUUUUAAUGACUCAUUCGGCGCCUUACGGGAAAC